RNAcentral lists this unclassified non-coding RNA (235 nucleotides) under Dendrosporobacter quercicolus. Its description in RNAcentral is "BsrG". Lineage: Bacteria; Bacillati; Bacillota; Negativicutes; Selenomonadales; Sporomusaceae. The record is from RNAcentral.
ACAGGCUGUCGGGGGAGAACGGUUGGCCACACCCUUUGAAGAAAGGGGGUGGUGGAUGUGUCAGCAUUUGAGGCAAUGUACUUAAUGGUCGCAUUCGCAACACUUGUUGUGCUCAUCAUAAAACAGAAAUAACCGCCCCUGCCAAAGAUGCGGUUAUUUCUAAAUAAUCUCAAUCUGGGCUAACCGUUUCCCGGUUAGACAGCCUGUGGGGGCUGGCGUGUGUCGAGCACGUCAG